This 1013-nucleotide ribosomal RNA is filed under the name Scutellonema brachyurus. RNAcentral's name for it is "Scutellonema brachyurum partial large subunit ribosomal RNA". The record is from RNAcentral. Lineage: Eukaryota; Metazoa; Nematoda; Chromadorea; Rhabditida; Hoplolaimidae.
AACUGGGAUCAAGUCCAGCGCUGAAUCGUGGCGCCUCUGGUGUUGCGAGGUGUUGCGUAUAGACCGUGAGCAUGGACGGGCCCAUCCGUUCAAGUUUCCCUUGACCGGGGCUCCAGAGAAGGUGCAAGACCUGUCCAACAGGUGGUUGCUCGUCCAUCUUCGCGCGUCUUGGAGUCGGGUUGUUUGGGAGCGCAGCCCAAAGCAGGUGGUAAACUUCAUCUAAGACUGAAUACGGCCACGAGUCCGAUAGCGAACAAGUACCGUGAGGGAAAGUUGCAAAGCACUUUGAAGAGAGAGUUAAAGAGGACGUGAAACCGGUGAGGUGGAAACGGACAGAGCCGGCGUAUCUGGCCCGCAUUCAGCUGUGGGCUCUUCAGCUUCAGUGGUUCUUCUCCAGACWGGGGCGCGUCGCUGUUUGCUGGUUGGCAUGCGGUGCAUUUGCGGGUGGAGUGCGCCGAGACGCUCGGGGCAGCGGCACAAUUCCGGUUCAGAGGCCAACUUUGUUUGGAACCCGUGCCGUGGGGAGUGUUGUUUGCYCUGGGUGUGCAGUUGGGGCGGUGGUUCCGGGCCCGGGUGGGUGCCGAGCUGGCAAUUGGUGGCGGUCGCAUGCGACACGUACCGGCGGCCAGUUCGGUCCUGCUCGAGCUCUCAACCGUUCGUUCUCGGUGUAAAAGCCGGUCAUCUGUCCGACCCGUCUUGAAACACRGACCAAGGAGUUUAGCGUGUGCGCGAGUCAUUGGGCGUWGAAAACCCAAAGGCGCAAUGAAAGUGAAGGCAUCCCUCGUUGGAGCUGACGUGUGAUCCUGGCCACACSCGGUGURCCGGGCGCAACAUGGUCCCGUUCUGGCCGCAUGCGGCGGGGCGGAGACAGAGCGUACGCGCUGAGACCCGAAAGAUGGUGAACUAUUCCUGAGCAGGACGAAGCCAGAGGAAACUCUGGUGGAAGUCCGAAGCGAUUCUGACGUGCAAAUCGAUCGUCUGACUUGGGUAUAGGGGCGAAAGACUAAUCGAAC